Molecule: ribosomal RNA, 489 nt
Filed under: uncultured Thermodesulfobacteriota bacterium
Lineage: Bacteria; Pseudomonadati; Thermodesulfobacteriota
Description: bacterial SSU rRNA
Rfam family: Bacterial small subunit ribosomal RNA
Source: RNAcentral
GAGGGGCCCGCGGCCUAUCAGCUAGUUGGUGAGGUAACGGCUCACCAAGGCGACGACGGGUAGCUGGUCUGAGAGGACGACCAGCCACACGGGGACUGAGACACGGCCCCGACUCCUACGGGAGGCAGCAGUGGGGAAUUUUCCGCAAUGGGCGAAAGCCUGACGGAGUGACGCCGCGUGGGGGACGAAGGCCUUCGGGUUGUAAACCCCUGUCAGAGGGAAAGAAGGGUGUCGGCGUGAACAGCGCCGGCAUCUGACGGUACCUUCAGAGGAAGCCCCGGCCAACUCUGUGCCAGCAGCCGCGGUAAGACAGAGGGGGCAAGCGUUGCUCGGAAUCACUGGGCGUAAAGGGCGCGUAGGCGGGAUGGCAAGUCGGUCGUGAAAUCCCUCGGCUCAACUGAGGGGGGUCGGCCGAUACUGCCGUUCUUGAGGGAUGCAGAGGGGACUGGAAUUCCCGGUGUAGCGGUGAAAUGUGUAGAGAUCGGGAGG